GACGAACGCUGGCGGCGUGCUUAACACAUGCAAGUCGAACGGAAAGGCCCCUUUGGGGGUACUCGAGUGGCGAACGGGUGAGUAACACGUGAGUAACCUGCCCUUGACUUCGGGGUAACUUCAGGAAACUGGGGCUAAUACCGGAUAGGAAUCCUUGCUGCAUGGUGGGGGUUGGAAAGCUUCGGCGGUUUUGGAUGGACUCGCGGCUUAUCAGCUUGUUGGUGGGGUAGUGGCUUACCAAGGCUUUGACGGGUAGCCGGCCUGAGAGGGCGACCGGCCACAUUGGGACUGAGAUACGGCCCAGACUCCUACGGGAGGCAGCAGUGGGGAAUAUUGCACAAUGGGCGGAAGCCUGAUGCAGCAACGCCGCGUGCGGGAUGACGGCCUUCGGGUUGUAAACCGCUUUCAGCAGGGGCGAAGCUUGUGGUGACGGUACCUGCAGAAGAAGCACCGGCUAACUACGUG
This 465-nucleotide ribosomal RNA is filed under the name uncultured bacterium. RNAcentral's name for it is "partial 16S ribosomal RNA". It matches the Rfam family "Bacterial small subunit ribosomal RNA", at positions 28 to 507 of the family's 1533-position model. The record is from RNAcentral.